UGUUCGGCAUUUAAAGUGGUACGCGAGCUGGGUUUAGAACGUCGUGAGACAGUUCGGUCCCUAUCUGCCGUGGGCGCUGGAGAACUGAGGGGGGCUGCUCCUAGUACGAGAGGACCGGAGUGGACGCAUCACUGGUGUUCGGGUUGUCAUGCCAAUGGCACUGCCCGGUAGCUAAAUGCGGAAGAGAUAAGUGCUGAAAGCAUCUAAGCACGAAACUUGCCCCGAGAUGAGUUCUCCCUGAGACUUUAGGUCUCCUGAAGGAACGUUGAAGACGACGACGUUGAUAGGCCGGGUGUGUAAGCGCAGCGAUGCGUUGAGCUAACCGGUACUAAUGAACCGUGAGGCUUAACCUU
Molecule: ribosomal RNA, 353 nt
Filed under: Salmonella enterica subsp. enterica serovar Manhattan str. 111113
Lineage: Bacteria; Pseudomonadati; Pseudomonadota; Gammaproteobacteria; Enterobacterales; Enterobacteriaceae
Description: LSU rRNA
Rfam family: Bacterial large subunit ribosomal RNA
Source: RNAcentral